Molecule: unclassified non-coding RNA, 400 nt
Filed under: uncultured Oscillospiraceae bacterium
Lineage: Bacteria; Bacillati; Bacillota; Clostridia; Eubacteriales; Oscillospiraceae
Description: contains 16S-23S intergenic spacer region
Source: RNAcentral
CGGACUACACGGGUAUCUAAUCCUGUUUGCUCCCCACGCUUUCGAGCCUCAGCGUCAGUAAAAGCCCAGCAAGCCGCCUUCGCCACUGGUGUUCCUCCUAUAUCUACGCAUUUCACCGCUACACUAGGAAUUCCGCUUGCCUCUACUUCACUCAAGAAUGUCAGUUUCAAAAGCAGGUUACGAGUUGAGCCCGUAAUUUUCACUUCUGACUUGAUAUCCCGCCUACACUCCCUUUACACCCAGUAAUUCCGGACAACGCUUGCCACCUACGUAUUACCGCGGCUGCUGGCACGUAGUUAGCCGUGGCUUUCUAAACGGAUACCAUCAUUUUUUUCUCCGUCAACAGAGGUUUACAAUCCGAAAACCUUCUUCCCUCACGCGGCGUCGCUGGAUCAGGGUU